UCCUUGGUGGUCCAGUGGCCAAGACUCUGUGCUUCUGAUGCAGGGGGCCUGGGUUCAAUCCAUGGUCAGGGAA
This 73-nucleotide transfer RNA is filed under the name Capra hircus (goat). It matches the Rfam family "tRNA". Rfam says of the family: Transfer RNA (tRNA) molecules are approximately 80 nucleotides in length. Their secondary structure includes four short double-helical elements and three loops (D, anti-codon, and T loops). Further hydrogen bonds mediate the characteristic L-shaped molecular structure. tRNAs have two regions of fundamental functional importance: the anti-codon, which is responsible for specific mRNA codon recognition, and the 3' end, to which the tRNAs corresponding amino acid is attached (by aminoacyl-tRNA synthetases). tRNAs cope with the degeneracy of the genetic code in two manners: having more than one tRNA (with a specific anti-codon) for a particular amino acid; and 'wobble' base-pairing, i.e. permitting non-standard base-pairing at the 3rd anti-codon position. The record is from Rfam by way of RNAcentral. Lineage: Eukaryota; Metazoa; Chordata; Mammalia; Artiodactyla; Bovidae. RNAcentral also lists the same sequence under 1 other name.